AGGGUAAUAGUUAAAUAUAACAUUUGAUUUGCAUUCAAAAAGUGUUGAUUAAAUCAACUUACCUU
This 65-nucleotide transfer RNA is filed under the name Orthetrum glaucum. RNAcentral's name for it is "tRNA-Ala". It matches the Rfam family "tRNA". From Rfam's summary of the family: Transfer RNA (tRNA) molecules are approximately 80 nucleotides in length. Their secondary structure includes four short double-helical elements and three loops (D, anti-codon, and T loops). The record is from RNAcentral. Lineage: Eukaryota; Metazoa; Arthropoda; Insecta; Odonata; Libellulidae.